Molecule: ribosomal RNA, 306 nt
Filed under: uncultured soil bacterium
Lineage: Bacteria
Description: bacterial SSU rRNA
Rfam family: Bacterial small subunit ribosomal RNA
Source: RNAcentral
AGAGUGAACGCUGGCGGUAGGCCUAACACAUGCAAGUCGAACGGCAGCACAGUAGGAGCUUGCUCUUACGGGUGGCGAGUGGCGGACGGGUGAGGAAUACAUCGGAAUCUACCUUUUGGUGGGGGAUAACGUAGGGAAACUUACGCUAAUACCGCAUACGCCCUUCGGGGGAAAGCCGGGGACCAGCAAUGGCCUGGCGCUGAUAGAUGAGCCGAUGUCGGAUUAGCUAGUUGGUGAGGUAAUGGCUCACCAAGGCGACGAUCCGUAGCUGGUCUGAGAGGAUGAUCAGCCACACUGGAACUGAGA